UCAAAGGCUGAGAUAGGGAGCAAGUAACCUGAUAGUUCUGGCCUCAGAGAGCCGGGGUAGCUGCGAACCGGCGCCGGUACAGGUGAAAAAGUCGCCCUGGAGCCGCUGGCUGAAUUUUUUUAGUAAGCCUGGCCGGGUCGGUCACCCGUUACCAAAGCUGUGUCCUGAUGGGGACACAAAGUGGCUUCUGCUUUCCGGCGGAGCAAGCAGGGUGGUACCGCGCGAGGAAUUAACCUCUCGUCCCUGGC
Molecule: non-coding RNA, 248 nt
Filed under: Peptococcaceae bacterium
Lineage: Bacteria; Bacillati; Bacillota; Clostridia; Eubacteriales; Peptococcaceae
Description: T-box sequence
Rfam family: T-box leader
About the family: Uncharged tRNA acts as the effector for transcription antitermination of genes in the T-box leader family.
Source: RNAcentral